Molecule: long non-coding RNA, 1852 nt
Filed under: Paramuricea clavata
Lineage: Eukaryota; Metazoa; Cnidaria; Anthozoa; Malacalcyonacea; Plexauridae
Source: RNAcentral
GAUAUCGAUGAAUGUGAACUGGACCUCGACGACUGUCAUGCUCAAGCCACGUGCGCAAACACCCAAGGAUCAUACACAUGCACGUGUAACACAGGUUGGACUGGAAAUGGAACUAUUUGCGUUGGUAAGUAAAAUAAUUUUCUUUCUCGUAAAAGCAUCACUAUCUCUCUUUUUGAUGGACAAAUAAACCACUAGUUUCUUCCAAUCAUUGCAUUUGUCGUUAACAAACUCCUUUUUCUAUACUCUCAUGUCGAAAAGAAAGUAAAAUGUUAUGAGUUGUGUAUUCAACCCUUGUAUUUUAGUAGGGCACGUAAAAUGUGUAGAAGAACAAAAAUAUAAAUAAAAAUAGUAUCCUCCACUUUUGCCCAAUUUCUGGACAAGAAGUUUAGUUAAUUGAAGAUCAACUUUCGCUCCAGGAAGAAACUGGAGGGCCCGGAGAAAGCCGAUGACUUUCGGCAGAGCGUUGACUGACUGUUUUGCGUCUUUUCACAUGAGUCCGUAGCGAGAAACGAACCCACGAGCUCAGAAGUGAAACACUGAAGGCCUCGUACAAACUUUCUAUAUUUUGACCAUUUACACUUCGCCGUUGGUUUUCCCUGGGCACCUCAUUCGAAAUACAGACUGAACUAUCAUUACAGUUUCAUCACGCUAGUAACCUUUAACUUUGUUGAACCGUAAAACUAAAUUCUGGAUCAAACGAGGAUGACAGUGCACGAGAAUUGGUAGUCAUGCGAUAUUGGUUAGCUGUUGUUGACACUUUGCCAAAACUUUCAUGUAUUUUUUAAAGUUAAAACCCUGUAACAAUUCGUGGUGGCCGGACAUUUUGCCGAAAGACGCUUUGCCGAAAGACAUUUUGCCGAAAGAUAUUUUGCCGAACGGACAUUUUGCCGACGGACGUUUUGGCGAACGGACGUUUUGCCCAACGGACAUUUUGCCGAGUGUACAUUUUGCCGAACGGACAGUUUGACGAACGGACAUUUUGCCGAAAAUAGAGAUAUCUUCUGAACUUUAAAUGUUCGCUUACACGGUCAAAGUUUCUGUGAUUAAAGUCAUUAAUUGUCUAUUUUGAUAACAGAAACUUUGAUAAUGAACGAUUACGGAAAAUUCGCAAUAUAAAGGAUAAUAUCAUUCAACAUCAUUCAUGAAUGUGAUUUCCCUGAGAACUGUGAAUGUAUUCCAUGAUUCUGGAAGUGAAAUUCGCUUACGUCGUAUAUAUACGGUUGUUUGUUUACGAUCUGACGUCAAAACACGUUCCUAAGAAAUGAGUUAUCCGCUGGACAAACAAGCUACCAACAUGGUUAUGCAUUGCUAACAACCAUUAUGCACUGCUAAUGACCAUUACAGUAUGCACUGCUAAUGACCAUAUAAUGGUUAUUUUACACAAUGGUUGAGAAUUACACAGUUGAGAAAUGAGUCACAGUCCCAAACAUUUUGACGAAAUAACAUCUUUAUUUUCGGCAAGUUGUCCUUUCGGCAAACUGUCCGUUGGGCAAAAUGACCGUCGGCAGAAUGUCCGUUCGGCAAAAUGUCUGUCGGUAAAGUGUCUUUCGGCAAAGUGUCUUUCGGCAAAAUGUCCGGGUACCACAAUUCGUGACUUCCAAUUCUUAUCACCCCUCAUUCGAGUUCAACGGGGGCUACGGAAGGUUAACUUAAGUUCGUUCUCUAAUAUAAUCGAUCAUUAAUACUAUAGGCUUAAAUUUUAACAUAUCUCUACUAUCUCUAUCUUCAGAUAUCGAUGAAUGUGACCUGGACCUCGACGACUGUCAUGCUCAAGCCACGUGCGCAAACACCCAAGGAUCAUACACAUGCACGUGUAACAUAGGUUGGACUGGAAAUGGAACUAACUGCGUUG